GACGAGGGAUCCUAGCGUUGUUCGGAAUCAUUGGGCGUAAAGCGUAUGUAGGUGGCGAUGUAAGUUGGGUGUGAAAUCCCUGGGCUUAACCCAGGACGUGCAUUCAAAACUGCGUUGCUUGAAUAUGGGAGAGGGUAGUGGAAUUCCUGGUGUAGUGGUGAAAUACGUAGAUAUCAGGAGGAACACCGGUGGCGAAGGCGGCUACCUGGCCCAAUAUUGACACUGAGAUACGAAAGCGUGGGGAUCAAACAGG
RNAcentral lists this ribosomal RNA (253 nucleotides) under uncultured bacterium. Its description in RNAcentral is "partial 16S ribosomal RNA". It matches the Rfam family "Bacterial small subunit ribosomal RNA", at positions 524 to 776 of the family's 1533-position model. The record is from RNAcentral.